CCUACGGGGGGCAGCAGUAGGGAAUCUUCGGCAAUGGGGGCAACCCUGACCGAGCAACGCCGCGUGAGUGAAGAAGGUUUUCGGAUCGUAAAGCUCUGUUGUAAGAGAAGAACGUGUGUGAGAGUGGAAAGUUCACACAGUGACGGUAACUUACCAGAAAGGGACGGCUAACUACGUGCCAGCAGCCGCGGUAAUACGUAGGUCCCGAGCGUUGUCCGGAUUUAUUGGGCGUAAAGCGAGCGCAGGCGGUUUAAUAAGUCUGAAGUUAAAGGCAGUGGCUUAACCAUUGUUCGCUUUGGAAACUGUUAGACUUGAGUGCAGAAGGGGAGAGUGGAAUUCCAUGUGUAGCGGUGAAAUGCGUAGAUAUAUGGAGGAACACCGGUGGCGAAAGCGGCUCUCUGGUCUGUAACUGACGCUGAGGCUCGAAAGCGUGGGGAG
Molecule: ribosomal RNA, 438 nt
Filed under: uncultured bacterium
Lineage: Bacteria
Description: bacterial SSU rRNA
Rfam family: Bacterial small subunit ribosomal RNA
Source: RNAcentral